AGAGUUUGAUCCUGGCUCAGAAUGAACGCUGGCGGCGUGCUUAACACAUGCAAGUCGUGCGCGAAGGCGGCUUCGGCUGCCGGAGAGCGGCGAACGGGUGAGUAACACGUGGGUAAUCUACCUGGGAGUGGGGGAUAACCUGGGGAAACCCGGGCUAACACCGCAUACGAUGCUGGGACUUUGGUCCUGGUCUGAAAGCUGGCCUCUGCUUGCAAGCUAGCGCUCCCAGAGGAGCCCGCGGCUGAUUAGCUGGUUGGUGGGGUAAUGGCCUACCAAGGCGACGAUCAGUAGCCGGCCUGAGAGGGUGAUCGGCCACACUGGAACUGAGACACGGUCCAGACUCCUACGGGAGGCAGCAGUGGGGAAUAUUGGACAAUGGGCGCAAGCCUGAUCCAGCAACGCCGCGUGGAGGACGAAGGUCUUCGGAUCGUAAACUCCUGUCAGGUGGGACGAAGGUAAGUGGGUGAAUAAUCCGCUUGCUUGACGGUACUACCAGAGGAAGCCCCGGCUAACUCCGUGCCAGCAGCCGCGGUAAUACGGAGGGGGCGAGCGUUAUUCGGAAUUAUUGGGCGUAAAGGGCGCGUAGGCGGCUUGAUAAGUCAAAGGUGAAAUCCCUCGGCUCAACUGAGGAACUGCCUUUGAAACUGUCUGGCUUGAGGCCGGGAGGGGGUAGCGGAAUUCCCAGUGUAGCGGUGAAAUGCGUAGAUACUGGGAGGAACACCGGUGGCGAAGGCGGCUACCUGGACCGGUUCUGACGCUGAUGCGCGAAAGCGUGGGUAGCAAACAGGAUUAGAUACCCUGGUAGUCC
RNAcentral lists this ribosomal RNA (808 nucleotides) under uncultured bacterium. RNAcentral's name for it is "bacterial SSU rRNA". It matches the Rfam family "Bacterial small subunit ribosomal RNA", at positions 8 to 796 of the family's 1533-position model. The record is from RNAcentral.